Molecule: ribosomal RNA, 254 nt
Filed under: uncultured bacterium
Lineage: Bacteria
Description: partial 16S ribosomal RNA
Rfam family: Bacterial small subunit ribosomal RNA
Source: RNAcentral
UACGUAGGUGGCAAGCGUUGUCCGGAAUUAUUGGGCGUAAAGCGCGCGCAGGCGGUCCUUUAAGUCUGAUGUGAAAGCCCACGGCUCAACCGUGGAGGGUCAUUGGAAACUGGGGGACUUGAGUGCAGAAGAGGAAAGUGGAAUUCCAAGUGUAGCGGUGAAAUGCGUAGAGAUUUGGAGGAACACCAGUGGCGAAGGCGACUUUCUGGUCUGUAACUGACGCUGAGGCGCGAAAGCGUGGGGAGCAAACAGGG